UUUUGACAUUGUGGGCUGGCCU
Molecule: small nuclear RNA, 22 nt
Filed under: Arabidopsis thaliana (thale cress)
Lineage: Eukaryota; Viridiplantae; Streptophyta; Magnoliopsida; Brassicales; Brassicaceae
Description: snRNA_13261
Source: RNAcentral